RNAcentral lists this long non-coding RNA (4840 nucleotides) under Nicotiana benthamiana. Its description in RNAcentral is "long non-coding RNA (NBEN_LNC017513)". The record is from RNAcentral. Lineage: Eukaryota; Viridiplantae; Streptophyta; Magnoliopsida; Solanales; Solanaceae.
ACACAUUGUGUUUAAUAAAGGACAGAGAGAACAGAAUGUGCCGGAGCCAAAAAAUGUGUCAUCUUCUUCAAAAUGGAAAAUACAAACUAAAAGCCUAAGCUUCGUCCAAAUGACCACCUCCCUUCGUCGCUGCCUAGUCCUCACGAGCCAGCUCCUGACGAAAACCGAACAAACCAGUCUGCUUCGUCGUCAACAAUCAGCUCCCUUUCAUAUUCGUUGUCCGUCUCCUUCAUGUCCAGCAGCUUUCUCCAACACCAUCGCUGCUCCUUCUUCUUCGUCUGCUCGGUUCCGUUCGCGUUUUCGGCGCCGCUGAAGUUUUCUGGCCAUGGUCACUGAUAUUUGGUUCGUUUGUUUCAAAAAUUCAAAUUCCAAAAUAAAGGUUUGUUUCUUUACAUAUGUAUCGUUUCUUCACAAAUUAAUUCAUGGAUGUUGGGUUGAACAAAUAUUUCGGUAUCUAAGUUCUUACAUGUUUCUGUGAAUAUUCAUUCCAUGUAUCAAAGUGAGUUUGCUUUAAAGUUGGUUGUGCUUGUUAGCAUUAGAAAAUGUUUAGCCCUUUGUUAGUAUGUUUCCUUGUUGUUGUUCUUAAGAUAAAUUUAUUUGUUAUAAGGUUUGUGUUGGCUUCAUGAUUAGUUGGAAAUAUGAUGUGAGUUUGGUGUUGGUGAUUUCGGCUUUGAGUGUUUUUAUUAAUGGACCGUUUGUUUGGUUAGUGUUUAAGGCGUUGGGCCAUGUGCUAUUGAGAUAUUUAGUUGAUGAACAUUGGCCUUUGGUAAUUUAAUAGAUAGCGGGCUGCCUGUUUAGAAUAUAUGGGCUAAAAAUCAAAAUCUUUUUAGAACAACGAUGGGCUCAAAUAAGUCGAUCCAUGCUGGCCUGUUAUCCUAAACCAAUUUGUUAAAGUCUUGCAAAUAGUUAUGAGUUCUUUAACUAGUAUGGGGAUGAAAUAUUGUUGAAAUUCGACAUACAUUUUCACAAUGUUAUAUCCAUAAUUCAAGAGCCUCACCAUCGAUAAUCUUAAAGUAGUCUAGAAAAAUAAUUCUUGAAUAUCUAUAGUUUGUUUAAGUGGAGUAAAACCCUUUGGAGUAAAAUGAGACGAGUUUCGCCAAAUAAAAUGCACAAAUAGAUGGGCUCUCAUAAAUGUAUAUAUUAAUGCUUAGAUUUCGGGACGAGCCGUUUAGUAAAUUUCACGGCCUUCCCCAAAGUAAUAACGCGGUAGUCACUUUAGGCGCGUGUUUGAUAAUUUUACCUCCUUGAACUCGGGUGUGCAUUUCAUGUUACCCAAAUCCAAAUCCAAAUCCCAAAAUGUCGAAUCGGGUAUGUUCAAGAUUGCAGGUUUAUUUCAUGCGACGAAAUCCAAAGGCAUGUCUCAAACGACGUUCAAUUUGCUUUAAUAAUUUGAAUAAAAGCAGUUAAAAGUUAAAAUUGGCACAUACGUUUCAAUAUGUAUUAAAAUAAGGUAAAUAAGCUGAACAUGACAGUUGAGCAACCGUGCUAGAACCACAGAAUUCGAGUAUGCCUAACACCUUCUCCCGGGUUAACAGAAUUCCUUAUCUGGAUUUCUGGUUCGCGGACUGUAAUACAGAGUCAAUCUUUUCCUCGAUUCGGGAUUCAACCGGUGACUCUGAAUCUUAAUAAUAAAUCCCGUUUCGAUUGUCCUUUAAUUGGAAAAACUUCUUUACCCUCGCAGGGCGGUAAAAAAGAGGUGUGACAGCUCUAGAGACUCUGCUGGGGAUAAACAGGUGCCCAACGGUCAUAGAUUCAUUUGGUAACCAUUGAUUAUUUCACUGGUGAUCUUGCCAUAUGGCAAAGGUUAUGUGAGCACGUGAUUUUUUCCCUCACGAAAACUACUCCAAAAGAAAUCAAAAAUAAAACAAUUUCCUUGGUGUACAAUUUUUAGAAUUUGCGUGACAUUUUUUUGGAUAAUUAUUUGUACUUUGUCUGUGAACGUUUAUUUUUGUUUUAAUAAAUUAAAAAAUACAAAAAUACAUGUUGCAUGCAAAAUUAGGAUUUAAUUUUUGCAUUAAUUAAACCAUAAUUUGGUUUUAAAAGUGAAAAAUCACAAAAAGAUAUGCAUUUUUUGUUGUCAUUGUGUGAUUUUAUUUGUUUUAAAAUUAUGUGUUAAUUUUUGUUAAGUGUUAGUUAAAUAUUUGUGUAGUUUGAUUUUUUCGUUUUAACAUUUUUAGGAAUUUUUUUAAUUGUUAAAUUAAAAGAAGAAAUAUAAAAGAGUAAAAUAGGAGCUUAAAACGUAUUAUGGCAAAAACAUUUAACUAAAUCAGGCCCAAAACCAAAUCCCAGGGCUGGUCCAGGGUCAAAGGCAUCCAAGCGACACCGUUUUGGUCACGUAUGAUCUGGGCCGUUGAUCUCAAAUUGAUCAACGACCAAAAUCCCUCCAACCCGCAUCCAUCUCCCCAACCCGGUCCAUCAACUUAACAAAAACUACCCCGUUUCACACAGGAGAUCAUCAUAGCCGUUAGAUUUCCAUGAUCCAACAACUCAAGUUAAUGCACAAAUUUUAAUUAACCAAAAAGACCCAAAAAUCCAAAACCCUAAUUCAUUUCACCAUCUCUGACCUUCAGAGAAACCUCCGCCUCCUCCUCCACCAGAAAUAUCCUCACGGCGGUUUCGGUGGCCCAAACGCCUCCAUCUUCACACCAUCGAACCCUCACGACCCCCUCACUCCACUCCCAGGCCCAGUUUCUUCGAAUCAAACGAAUUCGUUUCGAAUCUUAAUUCCCGUCCAAGAACCCUAUCCGCCGCCAUAAGACCCCAGUGGACGGCGCCCCCUUUCGACCCCAAAUUGAUGCCCUAUCACCAUUGUGUCUCCCUCAUCCCAUAUCCAGUUCCAUCCCCUUUCAAAUACCACCCCAACUCCCUGAACCCUAACUCACAAAAAACUUUGACUUUGAUUUGAAAUACGAGUUUGGUCGUUUGAGGGUCCAUUUGGUUUGAUUGGGGUUUAGCCAUGUGUUUUCAUAUUGAAACACACGAUUAAACUCUAUUUCAAAUCCAAAUCAAGAAAAGGGGAGGAGUGAUAGUAAAUUCAGCCCGUUUUAAUUUUGUAGGUAUUGUUUUCAAUUCCUUUUCUUUAUAUUUUUAUUUGUUAGUUUGCACUUCAAUAUUGCUUCUUCUUCUCCUUCAUUUCUAUUUUUUGUUUUCUUGAUCUCUGUUAAUUGAACCAAGUGUGAAAUUAGCUUAUUGGUAUUUGAAUUUGCUUAUUCUAUUCGAUUCUUGCCAAUGUUUGAUUCUUUUAAUUGAGUCGUUCAUCGAAUCGAACUGUUUAAUCAAUUAAAAUGUCAUUGAGUAUUGGUCAUUAGUUUCUGUAUUGAUCUGUCAAUCAGUUUAGGAACUUUUUGUUUGAAUCCAUCCAUGAAUUGAUUAUAGUUGUUGUAGUUUGGUAGUUGAAUUCAAUUAAGAUUGAAUUGGUUAUAGCUGACGGAUUCAAUACAAUUUGAAAGAGGUUGGGUAAGGCAGUAAUUUCAAAUGGGUUAAGGGUAAUAUUGGGAUUUAACAAGGCUGUUAAGUAAGACUAACUUAAAAGUCUGUCAAAGCGUAUUAAAUGAUUGGUUUAAAGCAAUAGCGAAGAACCCUUCUUAAUUUAGGGAAGAAAUUAAGGAAGAAAAGCACAUGUUGAUUAAGUUUUUCAAAAAAGAUAGGCAGACUUUUGGCAUCUUGGGUGUUGGGGUAGUUAAGUUUUUCAAAAGGGGCAUAUUUUUUAGAUUUGAGUUGAAAAUGAGUAGGUCUGUUUUGGGUUAUAAAUGGAGAAGAGUUUGGAUAUAGGAGGGGGCUUUUUAAUCAAUUAGAGAUGGAUUGAGAGCAAGAAAACAUGCUGGAAUUUUCUGUAAACAUUCAGAGAGUUAUAGAGUUUUUUUAGAGCUUAUUUUUUCAGAACUUAAGAGUGAGAGUUGAAUUGAUUUUUCAUAACUGAAAAAGAAUCAUAUAUAGAGUGACAUUAGGCUGAGUUUUCACUUAAAAAGAUUUCAGUUGGUCUUCCUUGAGGGUCGAUAAUCAAAACACUAUUCUAUUGCACCCGCCUCACUUCUAAUUUGACUGGGGUGCAUUCUGAGUGUUACUAGGCAUUUGGUGUGAAAAUUCUUAGGGGUUUCGUUGCUUUUUGGCUUCUGUUAUUGCUUUUAGUCCCUGGUGGUUUGCUGAGUUUUUCUAUUGGUGGCCAAUCUCUAUUGCAUUUGUUCUUGGCUUCCUAUACAUUUGGUUUUCAUUCCAUUACUGGGACAUUGGCGUUGUUACUGAAAUCUGCGAUGCUGCAUUGAUAUUGUUGUGUUACUGUUUCUCAUCACUAAUCCUUCUCUUUCUUUUGCUUUCCAAUAUCAGGUACACAACUGAUGCACUGAUUUUUGUAAGCUAAAACUCAAAGCAUGAAUGAGAAUGAAGCCUUAAGGCUUUGAAGUUAUUUAAUUGUUGUUUUUUCAUCUUGGUUGUGUAUAUACAAUAGUUAGUUCCAUCUAUUAAAAACAUGUUGUAGUUUUGUUAUAUACAACUGAUUCAUAGGGUUGUAGUAGUAGAUAUAUUAUGCUAAGUUUAAAGAACCAGUAUUUCAGUUUAUUUACGAAGCAUGUUUAAAUACAUAUAAGGCUUUAGGUUAAUAACUCAAUAGAUUGAACCAUUUCAGGUAAUAUGUUAUAUAUCCAUAUUCAUAAAAUAAGCUUCAUUAGAUACUACUUUUAUUCUUGCUUCUUAAAUGUCAAAACAAUGGUGAAAUAAGUCACAUGCCCAAUGUUAGAAUAAAAAUGGCCCGUGUGAUGACCCGGCCGGUUGUCUUUGGAAUUUAUGCCCCGUUUUCCUAUUUCUGCUUUCCCUAAGUUCAUUUCUGCUAUUUUGUCUUGCCGGG